UGGGGAAUUUUGGACAAUGGGCGAAAGCCUGAUCCAGCAAUGCCGCGUGUGUGAAGAAGGCCUUCGGGUUGUAAAGCACUUUUGUCCGGAAAGAAAUCCUUGGCUCUAAUACAGUCGGGGGAUGACGGUACCGGAAGAAUAAGCACCGGCUAACUACGUGCCAGCAGCCGCGGUAAUACGUAGGGUGCAAGCGUUAAUCGGAAUUACUGGGCGUAAAGCGUGCGCAGGCGGUUUGCUAAGACCGAUGUGAAAUCCCCGGGCUCAACCUGGGAACUGCAUUGGUGACUGGCAGGCUAGAGUAUGGCAGAGGGGGGUAGAAUUCCACGUGUAGCAGUGAAAUGCGUAGAGAUGUGGAGGAAUACCGAUGGCGAAGGCAGCCCCCUGGGCCAAUACUGACGCUCAUGCACGAAAGCGUGGGGAGCAAACAGGAUUAGAUACCCUGGUAGUCCACGCCCUAAAACGAUGUCAACUAGUUGUUGGGGAUUCAUUUCCUUAGUAACGUAGCUAACGCGUGAAGUUGACCGCCUGGGGAGUACAGUCGCAAGAUUAAAACUCAAAUG
This 560-nucleotide ribosomal RNA is filed under the name uncultured bacterium. RNAcentral describes it as "partial 16S ribosomal RNA". It matches the Rfam family "Bacterial small subunit ribosomal RNA", at positions 355 to 907 of the family's 1533-position model. The record is from RNAcentral.